AAGUCAAUCUUCUCUAACUCGAAGAGUUUAUAUAUUAACAUCUAUAUCUAUACAAGAUAAAUGAACCUAAUGUGAUGUUGUAAAUAUUGGUGCAUUUUCCUAUAAACUUGGUUAAAGUUAGAGAAGUUUGACUUGG
This 136-nucleotide microRNA precursor is filed under the name Sorghum bicolor (sorghum). RNAcentral's name for it is "miR437d stem-loop (sbi-MIR437d)". Its record names the gene sbi-MIR437d. Lineage: Eukaryota; Viridiplantae; Streptophyta; Magnoliopsida; Poales; Poaceae. The record is from miRBase by way of RNAcentral.